AGUUCGGAUUGCAGCCUGCAACUCGGCUGCAUGAAGCUGGAAUCGCUAGUAAUCGCGGAUCAGAAUGCCGCGGUGAAUACGUUCCCGGGUCUUGUACACACCGCCCGUCACACCAUGGGAGCCGGAAACGCCCGAAGCCAGCGGCCCAACCGCAAGGGGGGAGCUGUCGAAGGCGGGUCCGGUGACCGGGGUGAAGUCGUAACAAGGUAAC
This 211-nucleotide ribosomal RNA is filed under the name uncultured bacterium. RNAcentral describes it as "partial 16S ribosomal RNA". It matches the Rfam family "Bacterial small subunit ribosomal RNA", at positions 1290 to 1500 of the family's 1533-position model. The record is from RNAcentral.